Molecule: non-coding RNA, 5054 nt
Organism: Monodelphis domestica (gray short-tailed opossum)
Lineage: Eukaryota; Metazoa; Chordata; Mammalia; Didelphimorphia; Didelphidae
Source: RefSeq, a predicted model, not a curated record
AAGGGACAGGGCAGCUCCUUCCGUGGGGAGAUGCCCCUAUGGAGGAGAUGCUCCUAAAUUCAGCAUUAGAGGAAAGGUGGCCAGCUGGCACCUGUGCCAACCCCCAACCCCUCCUGGCACGUGAGCCCAGUCGGAGCUUCACCAGGUGAGGAUGGUGCAAGACCUACCACCCUGGGGUGCGGGGCGGCAGAGAGGGUGAAUUAGGAUCUAGGUAAGGAGCACUGGGUGACCAUAUCAGGUGCAGAGCUCCCCAACAUAGUCAAGGAUCCUAGCAGAGGGGCUUGUGCUCAGAAGGCCCAAGUCUUGGUCACGACCCUUCCUUCAGGCUCAGUUUCCCCAUCUGUAAAUAGGGUGUCUCCCAAAGGCAGCAGGAGUUUCACAGAUGUUCUUCUCCCUCUUCCGUAGAGUGGGACUCACCUCUGCUCCCCCUCCCCCCGGGGGUCAGGAACCGCUUCCACGCUCCCAUUGGACGAGAGGCGGCAGAGGCGGGACCGAGGCGCGGUGGUACCACCCGUUAGGACCAAUCACCACCCCCACAGUCGGGACAAAGUCACAUAACGGAAAGGUCUCGGCCGGGCAGCGGACGCCCCGCCCCUCCCAGCUUCCCAGCCUCCCAGCCGUGCUGCGCAAGCUCGGUCUCUAGGGCAACCAGUUGGGACUCUAGCCGACCUGGAGGGCUGGCGGGGCAGGAGGAGACCCGGGACGGGGCCAGGCUUCUUCCUUCUCAGGGUGGCUAGCCAGAGUCCGAGCUCGGAGGGAUGAAGGGAAGGGAAAGUGCCUUCCCAGAGGGUAUCUCCGCCUGGUCCGGUCUGGACAAGGGUCCGAGCCACGGCUUCCCCGCUAGACUGACAGUGGGGGCAGUGUCUUCUCCCCCAGCCUCUGGGCCUGACAGCCGGACAGCAGCCCCAGCCUCCCGCGUUCUCCUGCUGCCCUUAGGCUGGAGCCUGGCUCAAGCAUCCGAGCCCCCCUGACCUUCCUUUAGGGACUGGCUGCCCUUUCCACUCGGAUGUGCCCCUCGACCCAAAGUCACCCAGAUAACCACCCUGCCUUUGUCCCGGGGUCCCAGCUCCAUGAGUGGGGACUAUUCCCCUCUCUCCGCAAGCCUCGGUUAACCACCCUGACCCCUGGGUUGGAAGCCUUCACGUGCCCCCGUUGCCCUUCCAACGCACGAGGAAACCCCGCUUGCUGCCUCUGGCCCACCCACCGCAGGCGCCCAAACCCUCCAGCAGCGGCCGCAGCCCUCCAGGAAGACCUCGCUCCCCUCCUCCCGCCCCCCCUUGUGGCCCCACUUUCCCGGCUUUCUUAGCUCCGCUCUCCACUCCGGCUGAGGUUCCAAACUUCCUGUAUCCGGCGUGUGUUGUGGCAUCAGAGCCCGGGAGCAGAAGGGCAGCACCCCGAGUCCCUGCACUCCCUGCUCCCCGCGCUGCAGCCCCGGAGCUCCUUGGGCCCCCUCUCCUGCCCCUGAGGGAGCCCAGCGCCCUGAGCCCCAGCAACCUCCUCUCCCCGAGCUGCAGCCCUCGGGGUUCCUCCGGCCGCCUUUCCCUGCCCCUGGGGAAGCUCAGCGCCCCGAGCCUCUGCACCCUCUGCUCACCUCACUGCAGUCCUGGAACUCCUCAGGCCCCCCUUCCUUGCCCCUUUGGGGAUCGCAGUGCCCCGAACCUCCGCCUCAUUGCCCUGUCCCCCAGCCCCCGGAGGAGCUCGGCGCCCCGAGCUUCUGUCUUGCUAGCUUCGGGAACCCCGGGCUCACCGUGGCAUCCUGGCCGGCGUAGUGACUGAUAACCCGCGAGCCUCCUGGGUGCCUCUGACUAAACUCGCUGAUGUCGUAGACCUUGCGGUCAAUCACUAGCCAGCGCUCGGGGCGCCCCGAGCGCUGCGCCACCUCGUCCCAAGUGAAGAGUCGCGGCGGGGCCCCCGCGGACACAGAGUGUGGGGCCAUGGUCCUGGAGGCGGCGGCGGCAGGAGCAGCGGCAGUGACGGCGGCGCGCGCUGGCGCGGUCCGGAGGGGAGCGCGCGGAAGCCGUUUUCAGCACCAGGGGCGGCGGACGGCGGACGGCGGCGAAGCUCGGGGGCCCGCGCUCCCAUUGGCUGAGCCGCGUGGCGCGGGCGGGAGAGGGUGCCUCCUCCCCCCGCCCCCCGAGAUUGCCCGGGCGCGCGCCAGACCCCCUCCUCCACCUUCCCUCCGGCGACGCGCUGUAGGGCAGUCUCUAGCUAACCCAGAAGGAGCUCUGGCCAGGUCCCAGCCCUGACUCUCCAGCCGUAGCUGGGGUACGGCUGGGGAAACUGAGGCCUCCAGCCUGUCAGCGAGCUCCAGCACGUUCCCUUGCCGGUUGCUUUCCUCAGAUAAUCCAGCGGGUCCCCAGUUCAACUAAACUACACCGAUCUGGGUGCUCCUGGGCGCAGGCACCGAGGCAUGCUUGGCUGGGAAAAGAUAGUGCCCGGCCCACAGUAGGCCCAGAAGAAACGCUUGUCCAUUGAGGGAUGCUUUUUCCCUAUGAAAUUUCGCAUAAGUUCUCCAAAGUUAUAAGCUCCAAAUUGUCUCCCUUCCUCUCCCCUCCCGGAGCUGGCCGGCAAUUGAUCGGGGUUAGAGCUGGGGUAUCCAUCGCACGAAACCUGUCCCUAGUCAUCUUUGUGAGAGAAUGAGCCAAACCCGAAGACACUAAAGGGGGCAAUCGCAGCCGACCCAGCAGGCCUUUCUCUGGAGCUGGAGAGACGCGUUCUUCGCCCCAAGCCCCUCGAGGGUAGCCAGGUCUUCGCCCUUCCCCAAUGCGGCAGUCACUGCUCUAACGUUCGGCCGGCUCAGCUUAUUCCCCUCUGCAUCAGUUCGGGUAGCUCUUUCCAUCUCUUUCUGGAGUCUACCCCGAGGCGGGGAGGGAUGGGAACAAAAAGGGCCCCAAACCUUAAGGGCCAGAGCUCUACACGAUCUGCCAAGCGCCUACUAUGUGCUGAGAGCUGGGCAAACACGGAAGAGCAAAAGCCCAUCCCAGUGGGAGAAAACGGGAAAAGAAGGAAACGAGUCAAAAUCUAGCGAAAUUCAGGUAGAAAACAUGGGAGGUCCGGGCAGAAGGAAGGCCCUGGAGGGGGCGGGGGUGGCCCCAGCUCCCUGCACAAAGGGCCGCUUUCAGAUGAGUCCUGAUGGAAAUCCGGGAAGCCGGGAGAUGAAGGUGAAGCUGCCCCUGCCCUUCUGAGAGGCCAAAGGGAGGAGACUCCAGAGACAUGCCACCAAAGCAGAAACCCAAGCCGGGGGCCAGAUGGCAGCCCUCGGGCUCAAAUACACCCCAAUGGGCAAGGGGGAGAGUUAGGGGGAAAUCUGAGCAGGAUGGGCUUUAGGGGGGGAGGAGGGGGGGGAGGAAGAAAGGCAGUCUAUGGAGGACCACAGAGAGACCUUAGGAUGGGAGCUCUCCAGCUGGGGGCCAUGAACUUGUUUUUGGUAAAUACAGUUGGCGGCCUCUAUAAUUAGAUGAGCUUCACUUUAUGCAUCUUCAAAGGAUUAUUCCAAGAAGGGGUCCAGUGGAAAGAAGGAAGAAAAAAAGGGAGGAGAGAAGAGAGGAAGGAAGGAGGAAGAAGAGAAGGAAGGAAAAUCAAGAAGCCCUAGUUUAGAGAGAAGACUUGGCUUCGAAUUCUAGAUCCACUAAAAUGCAGUUCUCGUUGUACAGAUGGGCACCCUUGGAAAGUACAUUUCAACUCCCUGGGCCUCAGUUUUCUUUUUCUUUCAAUUUUUAAAAAUCUUUAUUUUAAUUAAAAAAAAAACCCUCUUACCUUCUAUCUUAGAAUCAAUACAGUGUAUUGCUUCCAAGGCAGAACAGUAAGGGCUGGGCAAUGAAGUGACUUACCCAGGGUCACACAGCUAGGAAGUAUCUGAGGCCAGAUUUGAACCUAAGACCUCUCUCUCCAGGCCUGGCUCUCAAUCCACUAAGCCACCUAUUUGUUCCAUGGGCCUCAGUUUUCUUAUCUGAAAAAUGGAUGCAUUUGACUAGAUGGCUGUACAUAUUCCUUCAGAAAUAGCAUAGGUGACUAGGAAGAUCAGGAGAGGAGAGAUAGAAUGUGGCUCUUUUCCCCUCAAUAGGACUUUUUGACUCCCCAAAAGCCAUUGAGACAAAUUCUUUCAAAGCUGGAAAGGCCCAUACAAGAUAAUCUUUUCUGGGAGGUCCUGGGUUCAAACCUGACCUCAGGCCCUUCCUAGCUGAGUGACCCUGGGCAAGUCACUUGACUCCCAUGGCCUAGCCCUGACCACUCUUCUGCCUUGGAGCCAAUACACAGUAUUGAUUCUAAGAAGGAAGGUAAGGGUUUAAAAAAAGAGAUGGAGAGAUAUUCUUUUCCAAGAAGAAAAAUAUUCUGAUACAGGAUGACCUGCCUAGUGUCACCCACUCCAUCCCAUGACUCUCUGCUUCAAAACAAAACAAGAAACUAGGUCUCCAAAGGAUUAUCAAAGGAGUUAGGCUAAUAACCUCUUUCAAAACCCUGAUCUGAGAGUAGGUGUGCCUGUGCCUUGUCCUGGGUGCUCCUUGCCCAAAUGCCGUGUCCUCCUGAGCUGCCCUCUAAAGAGAGUGAGAAGUCUUCUCCUGCCCUUCUGACCCUUCCUGCUUUGCAAUGUUUUUUUGUGACAAGUUCCCGAGUCCUUGGGAGCACCCAGCCCUCUAAGGCCACCGAUGAAGGCUUUUGUUCUGGCCCAGAUGCCUGGUCUAGGAUUCUGGUUGUCCCAUUCCCACCACGUUGACGGCUGAUGCCAGAUCCCCCUGGUUUCUUGUUCAUGAAGGCGAAAGACCAGAAAAAUUCCCCUCCCCACUUUUCCACCUCUGGGCACCAUCUUGAAAGGUUCCAUGCAUUUGUCCUGGCUGUGCCCCAUGCCUGGAGUGCCAUCUCCUCAUCUCAAUCCUCUGCUUUCCAUGGCUUCCUUUAAGUCCCAGCUAAAAUCCCACUGUCUAGGGGAAGUUUUCCAAUCCCCCUUCCUCCGUUGGUUGUCUCCACCUUCUCCUAGGUGCACCCUCCCUGGAGAUCUUUUUUCGUGCAUAACCAUUUGCAUGUUGUUUCUCCUAUUAAACUCUGAGUUCCUUGGG